This 76-nucleotide transfer RNA is filed under the name Rhamnusium bicolor. RNAcentral's name for it is "tRNA-OTHER". The record is from RNAcentral. Lineage: Eukaryota; Metazoa; Arthropoda; Insecta; Coleoptera; Cerambycidae.
AAUUGGCUCAGUGGUUCAGAGCAUAUACGUUAGGCUUGAGACCAAGGGGUCCCGGGUUCGAAUCCUGACUGGGGCA